This is a long non-coding RNA of Helianthus annuus (common sunflower), 759 nucleotides long. RefSeq lists it as uncharacterized. The record is from RefSeq and is a predicted model, not a curated record. The transcript has 3 exons. Lineage: Eukaryota; Viridiplantae; Streptophyta; Magnoliopsida; Asterales; Asteraceae.
GCUAGUUAUGAACAAGUAAGGAUAGUCUUGGUCUUAAUAAUAUACAUAUUAUUCUUGAGGGGCCAAAUGUGUAAAGUGGCAAAACUUAAAACAUUAAAAGUAUAAAAAAAUUAAAAACACACAUAGAGUGUGCGUGUGUGUAUAUACGAUCGAUCAGGGACAGAGGGUGAGGUGAAACCCUAGUUUCACCAAAAUCCAUCAAAUUGAAGGGGGAUUGAAGGGCUAAACUAAUGUAUGAACCAAGAUUUUCGAUCACUUUAGCGUUUCUACCAUCAUGAACGUGUCAAGGAGAGGUCAAGCAUAGGAGGGUAACGGGUCAAGAUAAGGCAAGGUGACAAAUACACUUAUUGGAGUACUCGAGGUAUGGGAUCGUUGGCUUCAUGAAGAAAUGGAGCUGGAUUUGGAUAAGAGUAUUUAAGAAAGCGCUUGGACAAUUCCACGACUACUUUAUAGAAUGCUCUACGAAAUUCUAUUAUAUAGUUUAAUGUUGUAUGGUAUGUUAAUGACUAAUGGUUUGGUUGUACGUGGUGUCCACAGGUAUCGCUUGGGUUUUCUCUACAUUUAUUGAAGUGAAGCGGACUUAGUUCGAGUUGAGAGCAAGGAUUGUACGGGGUAGAAUGGUCACAUAGUGUAACUCAUAUAGGUUUUGAAGUAUUAAUGUUAUAAAACGUUAUAAAUCCGUUUUAAUGAAUAUAUGGCAUUUCGCAUUUGAACCUUCAUGUGUUUGAUAUGUCUAUUAAAGAACGAAAUUUUUGGGCU